ACUACUAAGAGACUGCCGGUGUCAAACCGGAGGAAGGUGGGGAUGACGUCAAGUCCUCAUGGCCUUAUGGACGAGGUCUACACACGAUACAAUGGUCGGUACAGAGGGGCGCAAGACCGCGAGGUGGAGCAAAUCCCAAAAAACCGGUCUCAGUUCGGAUUGGAGUCUGCAACUCGACUCCAUGAAGUUGGAAUCGCUAGUAAUCGCGUAUCAGCAUGACGCGGUGAAUACGUUCCCGGGCCUU
Molecule: ribosomal RNA, 244 nt
Filed under: uncultured Desulfuromonas sp.
Lineage: Bacteria; Pseudomonadati; Thermodesulfobacteriota; Desulfuromonadia; Desulfuromonadales; Desulfuromonadaceae
Description: partial 16S ribosomal RNA
Rfam family: Bacterial small subunit ribosomal RNA
Source: RNAcentral